UAAAUGAUUAAAAAAGGAAGAAAAGAAUUCAAAGGACUUGGGAAGCAGAGAAAGCUUAAUUUGAUGCUUGCAAGGAGAGGAGUUGAUUUUGCUAAUAAACCCGAUCAUGUGUGUAUAUAUAGAUGAAGAAAUGGUAUGUGGAAAACCAUCAGCUACAUGAAAUGAUUGGUGAAGAGGAACUGAGAUGGGAUCCAAGUAGGAACACUAGCUUGUGAGAAACCACAUGGGUUUGUCUUCCUACUCAAAAGCACAUGUAAAUAGUACCAACCUGUAUACUUGGACACAAACAAUGUUCCCUACAUCCUUUAUUUGAUAUAUAGCAGACAAGAAGAGGACUACAACAGGUUUCAAUCCAUCUUAAAAACAAUGUUGAAAGAUGAGGCUGUGCUAUGAUAAGAGGCUGCAAUCACCUGUUACAUGCUAUGAUAAAGUUGAUAUGAAUCAAUUGUGAGCACCAGCUGUUUGAUGCUUCGGGCGAAACCAAUUCCCAGGGUGUGACGGGCGGUGUGUACAGGGCCCGGGUACAUAUUCACCGCGGCAUGCUGAUCCGCGAUUACUAGCGAUUCCAACUUCAUGUUCCCGAGUUGCAGAGAACAAUCCGAACUGAGGCAAUCUUUCCGGAUUCGCUCCGCCUGAGUUAUUCUAAUGUUAUGCUCUCCGUAUGCCUUAAAUUCAUUUCUCUCUCCUCAGCUAAGCUGCUUGAAAGAUGUGUCAAUCCAGUGAAUAAUCAAUCAUCUCCUCCUGACUCAGCAGUCCUCCUUACAUGGUUCCGAAUAUGUCACAAGAUAAAUUUUUCUGGGAAAGGAUCGGCGUUAUUAAUUUUUGAUGUCUGGACAUCAAAAAUGGUACUAGGCAGCUCAUGGUUUAGUAAAUAAUGGCAAAUGGUCUACUGGAAAAUAAGAAAAGAAAGUUGAUGAACCCUCUUGGUAAGGCUCUAUGAUGUCUGUGAUUGGCUUCUAAAUAUCCCUAAUGUGGCAAUUGUUCCGUUCUUUUCUUAACUUCAUAAAAUUUAGUUGCUUGUAUGGAAAAUUGCCUUCUUAUACCUAACUUUUUGUUUUGGAUUAGCAAGUGUAGUUCUUUGGUACCCUGUAAUGUAUGGAUACUUUUUAUGUGGAAAUUGAAACAGCAACAGUUUGAAUUGGUGUUGACUUUGAUUCCAAGUAUCA
Rosa rugosa (rugosa rose) is the source of this 1166-nucleotide long non-coding RNA. RefSeq lists it as uncharacterized. The record is from RefSeq and is a predicted model, not a curated record. The transcript has 2 exons. NCBI's taxonomy places the organism in Eukaryota, Viridiplantae, Streptophyta, Magnoliopsida, Rosales, Rosaceae.